RNAcentral lists this long non-coding RNA (1064 nucleotides) under Bemisia tabaci. Its description in RNAcentral is "lncRNA ENSSWEETPG010434". Lineage: Eukaryota; Metazoa; Arthropoda; Insecta; Hemiptera; Aleyrodidae. The record is from RNAcentral.
CAAUAUUUUGUUACAAGUAAAUUACCAAGAAAAAAUUGUUUUGCUCAUGAUAGUUGGAUUACUAUUAGUGAAUACUAAAAAAAUACUAAUAGUGAAAAACUACUGCCUAGACCCUACUCCAGUAGGAGCGCUGAAAAAUUAUUGAAAGUUCUUUUUGGUUUCAAAUGACUUAGUUUUCAUAAUGUACCUGCUGCUUCAGUCUUUUCCCUCUUUAAGUCCUCCCAUUGUGAACGUAGAUAGUAUUGAAUUACUUCAGUUACAUGCAUAAUUUCUACCUAAAAUACUAAAAUUAAGUUUCUUUAGGAAAAUAAUUACUUCUUGUGCUAUAUAAAAACAAAGUAAUAAUGAUUGUGCUGAUCUGUUCUUCCACAAGCCUGUAAGCUUUGAAUUAAUCGUGAUCCUUCCAAUGAAUUUUUUGUAUGAAGAGAAAACAAAUAAGCUGGCAGUAUUUUACUCUAACAAAAUAAAGGAUCCACUUUGGAGUAGGAGAUUUAAGAGAUAAAAUAAAAGUGAGAAUGGAAAUACCUUGGUCCACGUUCCAAGGAAGCUCUCAAGACCAAACGACCAAUACGGCCAAAUCCGUUGAUUCCAAUGUUAAAAGGAGGAACACAACCACUUGGCUUGGGCAGAGGAGUCAAAUGAAGGACAAUCGAAUGCUGUUGGGUGGAUGGGUGGCUAGGUCGUUCACCAGUCAGUUCACACAGCCCGCCACAGUUGUUCACCGCGCAGGUUCGGAGGAUCGGUUCCGGAAAAGAGCGAAUCGUAGAAACUAGAAACGAACGACUCUGACUCGAACGAUUUUGGAAUCGAUCCGCAAAUACUCCGACAUGUAACUUGCAUUAUUGUUCUUGGAAGCUUUCCUAAUAAAGUACAAAAUGAGAAAAAUAGCCGCCGACAUAAUUAAUUGGAAUUAUUAUUGAAAAAUAUUUAAAAAUAAAAAAUUAAAAAAAAUAUAAUCAAGUAUGUUAAGAAUUGAGAAAAUUAAUUUUUUUACAGAAAAUAAAGUAAUGUAAAUGAAAGAAUGAUAAGAAAAUAGCGUAAAUAAUAAAUGUAGAAGUGGUUGA